RNAcentral lists this ribosomal RNA (230 nucleotides) under uncultured bacterium. RNAcentral's name for it is "partial 16S ribosomal RNA". It matches the Rfam family "Bacterial small subunit ribosomal RNA", at positions 562 to 791 of the family's 1533-position model. The record is from RNAcentral.
AAAGGGUGCGUAGGCGGUCUGAUAAGUCAUCUGUGAAAUCUAUGGGCUCAACCCAUAGUCUGCAGGCGAAACUGUCGGGCUUGAGUAUGGGAGAGGUGAGUGGAAUUUCCGGUGUAGCGGUGAAAUGCGUAGAUAUCGGAAGGAACACCUGUGGCGAAAGCGGCUCACUGGACCAUUACUGACGCUGAUGCACGAAAGCUAGGGGAGCAAACAGGAUUAGAUACCCGGGU